CAAGCAACAGCAUAUCAGCAUUGCUGCUUCUACAGAAUCUUUUCCAAACUGGAGAUCUAUACUGUCACCAACACGGCCUUUUGCAGAAACUAAGACUGCCUCAGUAGCUGACAUUUCUAUGGGACAGACUUUAGAGAACGCAAACUUGCUUCAGAUGAUAAGAACAACACUGACAGGCACGCGUGCCAGAGCUAUGGAUCAGACUAAUCUUUCACCCACUCUUUAUCAAGGCAGUGGAAACAGUGCAUCGCAGGAACCUGCCGAAGUUUCGGCUGAUUCACCUCUGAGGUCAUCAUCUCAAGAUGCAGAUGAGCCGGCUGCUGUGUCAGUGUUUUCUGGAGUGUCUUCUGGUGCAAAUCCUACAGUAGGAACUUCAGAAGCUAAACAA
Non-coding RNA from Tinamus guttatus (white-throated tinamou), 388 nucleotides. The record is from RefSeq and is a predicted model, not a curated record. NCBI's taxonomy places the organism in Eukaryota, Metazoa, Chordata, Aves, Tinamiformes, Tinamidae.